Molecule: long non-coding RNA, 1135 nt
Filed under: Ananas comosus (pineapple)
Lineage: Eukaryota; Viridiplantae; Streptophyta; Magnoliopsida; Poales; Bromeliaceae
Description: long non-coding RNA (ACOM_LNC005096)
Source: RNAcentral
CCCCUCCUCCGACACAAACAACUUCCACAACUUUACCGACCGUCCCUAGUGCAAGUGGCAAAGAGCUUAGUGGUUGGUACUCGAGGUUCCGAGUUCAAAUCCUAAUUGAUUCACAUUUUCAGCUAAAUUUAUUUCUAAAUAAAAUAAAUGAAGCGGAUAGCAUGCUACCUAUUUCUCUCUCAAAAAAAAAAAAAAAACCUUUUCAACUUUCUCAAACUAUUGAGGCGAUUUUGAAUUAGUAUAGUAGUUUUUAUAUUUUCGCCAACAAGUUAGAGUAGUUUAGUUUUCUUAUUCCAGUCAAAGUUAGUGGUUGCACCGUCAACAAGCAGAAUACAAGUCGGUUUGCUAAACCAUCGAGCUGAAAAAUCUAACUCGUGUUCAGGCUUUAUAUUAAUGAGCCGAACAUGAGUUGCGUUGCGAACAACAAGUUAGAUUGUCUGUUCUACUAUUAAGUAAAAUAUUAGAAGAAAAUUCAAAAAUUAGAAUCUUAAUCUAAUAAUUAAAAUUCACAAAAUAUAGAUCUCUUUAUAUUUGAGUUAGCUUAAAAUCCAAAUAGUGAAAAUUUGUAAUAUUUAUAGUCCAGCUGGGGUGCUUUUAGAAGUACCAAUUAAUGUAUUGAUGCUAUAGGUAUAGAUCUCUUUACAUUUGGAUUGGCCUAAAAUCCAAAUAGUAAAAUUCGUAAUAAAUAUAGUCCCAUUUAGGUGCUUUUAGAAGCACCUAAAAGUACUAUGGUGUUGGUACUAUGAUAUUAAUUUUGGCCACCGAAUCAGCCCUAGCAAUUCUUGGAUUAUAUACAUAAUCGUGGGUCCCACGAGUAAGCAUUACUGUUGAUUUUUAAUCCAAUGACCAAAUGGUAGAUCCAAGGGCUAAGUAAUUUUUGGUACUUUUAGAAGCAUUCCAACUCAGUUUAUAUAUAUUCGAGCUGUGUCGAGCCGAUCACGAGAGAGUUGAUCAGUUCAUGUUCGGCUCGUUUAUUAAACAACUGAUCAAUCUGGAGAUUAUUUUCGAACCAAACACGAGCUGGCUUACGAACAAUAAGCUGGAUUGUCAGCCCUAUAGAUAGUGAUAGCUUACACAAUUUUAGAAGUAGUUUCGGUAGCAUAAAUAGUUUCACACAUUCUUGACGUUUGGCUUU